Molecule: long non-coding RNA, 210 nt
Filed under: Ananas comosus (pineapple)
Lineage: Eukaryota; Viridiplantae; Streptophyta; Magnoliopsida; Poales; Bromeliaceae
Description: long non-coding RNA (ACOM_LNC014642)
Source: RNAcentral
AUUUUUAGCUUUUAAAAAAAUAUGAAAAAAUAAUUAAUAGAAAAAAAUUAAAAAUAAAAGAAUAAAGCAGAUGGCAAAAAUAAUUACAGAUACAAAUAAACUUACUGUUCAAUAUUUGUAUGAAGAGAUCAGUCCAAGACGAAAAUAACCGCAACAAAUUUUUUCUGCCUCCAAUCGUCAAAGUACUCUUAGUAUCUCCUCCUCCUUUAU